UGGUAAUGCCGGAUGCUCCAGUUGAUCGCAUGGUGUUCUGGGAAAGCCUUUGCGGCAUGGGAUGGGGUCGCGUCCUAUCAGCUUGAUGGCGGGGUAACGGCCCACCAUGGCUUCGACGGGUAGCCGGCCUGAGAGGGCGACCGGCCACAUUGGGACUGAGAUACGGCCCAGACUCCUACGGGAGGCAGCAGUGGGGAAUAUUGCACAAUGGGCGCAAGCCUGAUGCAGCGACGCCGCGUGAGGGAUGGAGGCCUUCGGGUUGUAAACCUCUUUUGUUAGGGAGCAAGGCAUUUUGUGUUGAGUGUACCUUUCGAAUAAGCACCGGCUAACUACGUGCCAGCAGCCGCGGUAAUACGUAGGGUGCAAGCGUUAUCCGGAAUUAUUGGGCGUAAAGGGCUCGUAGGCGGUUCGUCGCGUCCGGUGUGAAAGUCCAUCGCUUAACGGUGGAUCCGCGCCGGGUACGGGCGGGCUUGAGUGCGGUAGGGGAGACUGGAAUUCCCGGUGUAACGGUGGAAUGUGUAGAUAUCGGAA
RNAcentral lists this ribosomal RNA (531 nucleotides) under Bifidobacterium breve. RNAcentral describes it as "bacterial SSU rRNA". It matches the Rfam family "Bacterial small subunit ribosomal RNA", at positions 161 to 702 of the family's 1533-position model. The record is from RNAcentral. Lineage: Bacteria; Bacillati; Actinomycetota; Actinomycetes; Bifidobacteriales; Bifidobacteriaceae.